AGAGUUUGAUCAUGGCUCAGAUUGAACGCUGGCGGCAGGCCUAACACAUGCAAGUCGAGCGGUAGCACAGGGGAGCUUGCUCCCUGGGUGACGAGCGGCGGACGGGUGAGUAACACGUGGGUAACCUGCCUCAUAGAGGGGAAUAGCCUUCCAAAAGGAAGAUUAAUACCGCAUAAGAUUGUAGUUUCGCAUGAAACAGCAAUUAAAGGAGUAAUCCGCUAUGAGAUGGACCCGCGUCGCAUUAGCUAGUUGGUGAGGUAACGGCUCACCAAGGCGACGAUGCGUAGCCGACCUGAGAGGGUGAUCGGCCACAUUGGGACUGAGACACGGCCCAGACUCCUACGGGAGGCAGCAGUGGGGAAUAUUGCACAAUGGGGGAAACCCUGAUGCAGCAACGCCGCGUGAGUGAUGACGGUCUUCGGAUUGUAAAACUCUGUCUUCAGGGACGAUAAUGACGGUACCUGAGGAGGAAGCCACGGCUAACUACGUGCCAGCAGCCGCGGUAAUACGUAGGUGGCAAGCGUUGUCCGGAUCUACUGGGCGUAAAGGGAGCGUAGGUGGAUAUUUAAGUGGGAUGUGAAAUACUCGGGCUUAACCUGAGUGCUGCAUUCCAAACUGGAUAUCUAGAGUGCAGGAGAGGAAAGUAGAAUUCCUAGUGUAGCGGUGAAAUGCGUAGAUAUUAGGAAGAACACCAGUGGCGAAGGCGACUUUCUGGACUGUAACUGACACUGAGGCUCGAAAGCGUGGGGAGCAAACAGG
Molecule: ribosomal RNA, 759 nt
Filed under: uncultured bacterium
Lineage: Bacteria
Description: bacterial SSU rRNA
Rfam family: Bacterial small subunit ribosomal RNA
Source: RNAcentral